This 263-nucleotide unclassified non-coding RNA is filed under the name uncultured fungus. RNAcentral describes it as "partial contains small subunit ribosomal RNA, internal transcribed spacer 1, and 5.8S ribosomal RNA". The stretch from base 1 to 73 matches the Rfam family "Eukaryotic small subunit ribosomal RNA", at positions 1759 to 1831 of the family's 1831-position model. Lineage: Eukaryota; Fungi. The record is from RNAcentral.
ACAAACUUGGUCAUUUAGAGGAAGUAAAAGUCGUAACAAGGUUUCCGUAGGUGAACCUGCGGAAGGAUCAUUAGAGAAAAAGAAAGACUUUUCAUAGUCUUUUUCUUUAUCCACACCCUUACAGAUCGCAUUGUGCACUUUGGCCCCACACCUUUUUUCUUUACACGCUUUGACUACAUGUCUUGAAUGUAUCAAACCAUUAAACAUAAAGUACAACUUUCAGCAACGGAUCUCUUGGCUCUCGCAUCGAUGAAGAACGCAGC